This 241-nucleotide unclassified non-coding RNA is filed under the name Hevea brasiliensis (rubber tree). The record is from RNAcentral. Lineage: Eukaryota; Viridiplantae; Streptophyta; Magnoliopsida; Malpighiales; Euphorbiaceae.
AAUACUUUGAGUACAUUGGUAAAUUAAUUUAAAGGAUUAUUAUUUGAAAUUGAAUUUUAAAUGUAUUAGAUUAGAAUUGUACUAAUUGAAAAGAUUUUGGAUUUAAUUCAAAAUUGGGAAAUUAAAAGUAAAAAAGGGAAAAUUUUUAAUUUUUCGAAACAGCAGGAGUAGCCCCAUUCCCUCAAAGUUCCUUUCGCCCUUUACCCUCCCAGUAAUAACUUGAAAAAUUUUUAAAAAUAAA